RNAcentral lists this ribosomal RNA (274 nucleotides) under uncultured bacterium. RNAcentral describes it as "partial 16S ribosomal RNA". It matches the Rfam family "Bacterial small subunit ribosomal RNA", at positions 523 to 796 of the family's 1533-position model. The record is from RNAcentral.
AUACGGAGGGGGCGAGCGUUAUUCGGAAUCAUUGGGCGUAAAGGGCGCGUAGGCGGCCUGACAAGUCAGGGGUGAAAUCCCUCGGCUCAACCGAGGAACUGCCUCUGAAACUGUCAGGCUUGAGGCCGGGAGAGGGUAGUGGAAUUCCCAGUGUAGCGGUGAAAUGCGUAGAUAUUAGGAGGAACACCAGUGGCGAAGGCGGCUACCUGGACCGGUUCUGACGCUGAGGCGCGAAAGUGUGGGGAGCAAACAGGAUUAGAAACCCUUGUAGUCC